This 65-nucleotide transfer RNA is filed under the name Nassarius succinctus. Its description in RNAcentral is "tRNA-Cys". Lineage: Eukaryota; Metazoa; Mollusca; Gastropoda; Neogastropoda; Nassariidae. The record is from RNAcentral.
CCCGCCAUAGUUUAUGUAAAACAUCGACCUGCAAAAUCGAGGAAGGAAGAAGUUUCCUGGUGUGU